RNAcentral lists this long non-coding RNA (29240 nucleotides) under Triticum aestivum (bread wheat). RNAcentral's name for it is "long non-coding RNA (TAES_LNC014890)". The record is from RNAcentral. Lineage: Eukaryota; Viridiplantae; Streptophyta; Magnoliopsida; Poales; Poaceae.
AACAACAAGGUAUGAGAGUGGUCACAUGUCUGUUAACUGAAGACUAAAUUGGGGUCACACGAUUUAUUUUAUUUUGGCACUGUCUGAUCUAUGAUGGAUGGCUUGAUGGCCGUCUUGUGCCUCCCGGAUGACACUGUUUGGAAUCUUCCCUAAAGAGCCAGCGACCACCGGCAGAGCAGCCUGCCUCUGUCGUCCGUGGCCCCGACCAAAACCCCUCUCCCCGCCCCACCACACUGUCGUGGUUGCGUCACCCUCGGGCCAAUCCACAAAGACUCACCGUCAUCCAGAUCCGGCGGCGGCAGUACCUUCAACCCAUGCAACUCUAAGAUAGCCAUCUAAGCGUUGCUUCCGCGGUGAACUUGCGCCCCCACACCCUUACGUUAGACACCAGCCAACCAGCAGCCUAGGAGCUCCGCUGGCUCGAGGGGUGCUGCUUUCCAUAUGGAAUCGAUUGGCCCAGAAUAAAAAUUCAGACAACUGACGCCUAAAUAAAGUGAUUUGAGAUGAGGGUGCGACCUAUCUGGUGGCCCGGUGAAGUAGGCAACUCCAGCUACCUAGUCGGUGAGGUCGGCGCGGUUGCGAUGGCUACCGGCAGUAAGGAAGCAGAGAUGUCGCGAUGGUCGACGGCUACGGGGAAGCAGCGCCGGGGCUCUGGACGGGUCCAAAGUUGGAGCCACUCCGGUGCCGUGAACAACGACGGGGGUGAAUCGGCUCUCGUACGGUUCACACAGCCGUCGUUGAGGCAGCUCCGGCAGCAUGGAGUAAGAGGCACACGGCCUAGUGCAUGACGGCAAAUGGGCAGCGUCUCCGAGAUUAGAGAGGAGGGCAGCUUUGAAUUUGGUGCGGUGCGGGGCGCUAUGGAGGAGGGGCUGAUGUUUUGCGGCUCGGGAGAAGGGAGCUUCCGGGGAGAAGGUGAUUUGGCGCCCACGAGGUAUGAAUGGGAAAUUGGGAGGGGGAACCAUGUCUUAUGGACGCAUUUGUCUGAAAUGUGUGUGUGGGGGGGGGGAGUUACAGUUCUACCCCUGCAUUUAGGCUUAUCGGCUUGGGUCUGUGUACUGACGGUCUGGGAUAGUAGAGUAACUUUGCUUCUCCCAAAUAGUGGGCGCGAGCGAUUACGGGCGAGGAGGGCGUGUUUUGAAAUAUAGUGGGUGCAAGCGAUUUCGGGCGAGGAGGGCGUGUUUUCAAAUAUACUGGGCGCGAGCAAUUUCGGGCGGGGAGAGCGUGUUUUGAAAUAGUGGGCGCGAGCUAUUUCGGGCGAGGAGAGGGUGUUUUGCCGACCAUGGUUUGUGAAUUAUUCGGCACAUGUCAUUUCGGCCGAGGAGAAGGCACGCUUGGAUGAAGUUAACAACCUUACCUCGAUGUACAAAGGGCCAAUUGAUGCGUGUCCCACAUAGGCCGGUAAUUUCGCGUCUCCCAUUUAUUUGCUCGGGCGAAUUCCACUGAGUAGAGGGUGUUUAGCAGUUCGUUCAAAUUUUGGGAGAACGAGCAUCCACGUUACCUUAGCAAGUCGAUUCGAAUAAAAUUUUGAAAUAUUAGCUUGCCACUUCUUUUCUAGAUGGUGAGAUGAUGCUCGGGAGUAAUGUGUUUUUACAUGCUCGUUGCCAGCGAUUUACUAUAUGACAAAUAGUUAACCCACUAAAAAACGGGAAUCAAACCCAAAAUGAAAUAUCUCGAUUCAAUGAAAUAGCUCGUUCACGAGGUCAAAAAAGUGAACUAAAUCCAAAGAACACCUCAAUCGAGUAGCAUGUUGUACAGUAUUAUAGUACUCCAUGAACAUGUUGAAAGUCAAAUUAAUGAACUUGUCUGAUAUAUGCAUAUCUCCAUCCAUGUGUGGAUUGUAGACAACAUGUUCUCCAAUUUAAAUAUUUGAAUACAAGUAUAUAUCGAAACAUGGCUUAUAUCAGUCUUUGAUGCAUAAAACGCGACCUCCCCCUCUUCCGGAAUCCUGCUCUCUCUCUCUUUCUCUCUCUCUCUCCGAUAAUCUUCAAUUCUGUCACACGCAUCCAACACACAAACCUUUUUGGUCCAUAUCCCUCUCUCUCCGUCUCUCUCUCUUUGUGUGUGUGGGGGGCGGUUGUUCUAGUUCGCAUGCAUAUAUACUCCAUCUAUAGGUCUCUCUCGCACACUAUGUAUGAUUCUCUAGUCCAAGCUAAAUAUCUUGGGUGCACUCAUCGUACGCACACAAAUUCCUUGGCUCAUUGCCCGUAACUCUCUCACGCACCACUCGAGCGUCUCGAAGCUCUUCCCUUCUCUCUCUCAAACUCUCUAUCUACCUGGGUCACACAUACACAUGCAUAUCUCACUCUCACUCAAUAGACCCAUCUAAAACUCUAUCUCUCUCCCUCGUUCUCUCUCCAUCUCACACACACACACACAAUCUCAUGCCUAUCCAAGUAUGAUGGUCUCUUACUCAAAUGUAGGCACACACAGUCCCCCCUAUAUGUGUAUCACUAGAUAAUCUUAGUCUCCAUCACAAACAUGUGCAUGGUCUAUCUCGAUUUCUCUCUGGGCAUCUUUCUAUCGCGCACACACCUCCCUCGAUCUCCCACCAAUAUAGUCCCCUCAUGAUCUCAAUGAGAUCUCUCUAUCACAAACACACCCUAUCUCCCUCCCCAUGCGUUGAUGUUCUCCAUGUGUCCCUCUCGACCUUUGUUCCUUGUUGGCCAGGCAUCUAUUGGACAUGUGUUAUAGGGGUGUCUCUCUUCGUUGCAAACAAUCACGCACUAGAUAUCUUUGUGUAUCUCCUCACCUCGCUUUCCUAUCUCGGAGAUGCAUGUGUGAUAUGUUUGCAUAACAAAUGAAAAAACACACUCUCUCUCUCUAAUUUAUCGUUUGUUGUCCCUUUCUCUUUCACACACACUCUUUUUGCACACUCACUCAUUCUCCUUCACACACACUUGAUCUCUCUCGACUUAGGCACUCUCUUCGGUCCAUAGCAUAUAGAUUUAUUGAAAAGUCAAACAUCACAAAGUUGGACCAUGUACGUGGAGAAAAACAUUUACAUCUAGAAUGGCAAACAUAUACCGUUAGAUUCAUCAUGGGAUGUAGUUUCGUAUGAUGUAUCUUUGGUAUUGUAGAUAUAAAUAACAUUUGCGUAAACCUGAUCAAAGUUUCCAAAGUUCGACUUCUAAAAAAUUUACAUGCACUGCAUUAUCGAGCGGAUGGAAUAUCUCUUUCCCCCGCUCAGCUAUCUGACGCACCACUCAGCCUUAUCAGGACUCCUCUAUCUCUCUCAAACUUUAUAUCUCCCUGGUUCACACAUACACAUGUCUCGCUCGCGCUACAUAUAGACCCAUCCAACACUCUCCGCCCUUGUUCUCUCUCUGUGUGACACGCACCCCCUAAGUACCAUAAUCCCUCACUCCAUCAUAGGCGCACGCACUCCCCCCUAAGUAUGAUUAUCUCUCACUAGCCAUGUGGAACACAUGUAUUGUCUCCUUCCAUCCAUACCUCUAUCUCAAUAUCUCUCGGGGUAUCUUCUAUCGUGCACACACCUUGUCACUUGAUCUCCCACCAAUGUAGUCCCAUCACGAUCUCCAGGGGAUCUCUCUAUGACAAACAUACACUCUCUCCUCCCCAUGUCUGCAUUUUCUCCGUAUGUCUCUCUCGACCUCUCUCCCUUGUUUGUCAGACCCCUCUUGGCCAUGUGCUAGGGGUCUUUCUCUCUCGGUUGCACACAACCACACACUAUAUCCUCACCUUGCUUCGGUUGUCGAAGAUGCAUGUGUGAUAUGUUUGCAUAAGACACACAAGCCUUUUCUCUACUUUUAUCAUGUGUUGUCCAUGUCUCUUUCACACACACACAAACACUUUUUUCACUCACUCUUUCUAUUUCUCUAUCUCUCCCUCUCUCUCUCUAGUUAGGGAGACUCUCACGUCCAUAAGCAUAUGGAUGUUUUGAAAAGUCAAACCUCAUAAAAGUUUGACCAGGUAUAUGUGGAGAAAAACAUUUACAUCUGGAACAAUCAUUAGAUUCAUCACAACGAUGACUUACUUCAUACUAUCAUUUAUCUUUGGUAUUGUAGAUAUAAGUAAUUUCUUUAUAAACAUGGUCAAAGUUUCAAAAGUUUGACUUUAAAAAAAUGUCGGCACUACAUUAUCGAACGGAAGGAGUAGCUCUUUCUCUCUCUCUCUCUGCUAUCUCUCAUGGGCCUCCCCUCUCACUCAAACUCUCUAUACCGACGGAUUAUACGCUCAUUGUGUCAGCGUAUAGCUCCGUAUAUUAUUUACUUGACCGGUAAACCAGUCCACAUGCUGCCUUGUCAGCCCGUGUUCUCUAUCUUCGUGUGCUGGCCCAUGUGGCAGUGGGUGAAAAUAAGUAAACUAGAGGCCCAUCUGACACGCGGUGAAGUAAACAAAGUCGAAACCACUCGAGGUAGCACCCUGCAUACUAGUAAAUUGAGGGUGCAUUGUGGACACACUUCUUCCGCGUGAAGGAUGCACUCACGCACAAUUCACCACUGGACGACGACAUGCAUAUAAGGACGCACUCGCACACACCUAGUAGGCCAGCACACAACACACACUAGCACACGUGUACACCGGUGACGCCGCCAGUUGAGAUGGAUGGCGAGGCAGCCAACAAGCGGAGGCGGCUCGAGCCAAAACCGCAUCCGGCGAGCCUGGACUUCAUCAGCAGCCUCCCUGACGACAUGUUGCUCAUCAUCAUCGGCCUCCUCCCCACCAAAUCUGCCGUGCGGACCGCCCUGCUCUCCCGGCGGUGGCACCCCCUCUAGCGCCGCGUCCCCCUCAACCUCACCGUCGACAACUGCCUCUGCAACGGGGAUUGCAAACGCAUGGCUGCAGUCUCCAAGAUCCUUUCAUCGCACCCUGGGCCAGCCAAACGCCUUGACAUCCGCAUGUUCAGUAAGACUGCAAGGUCCAAGCCAAGUUCAACGAGUGGUUCUUAUGCCCCGCCCUAGAUGAGCUCGAGGAUCUCAGCUUUGAAGCUGGACGAUGUCGCUCUCUCUCAUCGCCUGCGCUCUGCCUCACGCAAUGCAGCGCCAUGCCAACUUCAGCUCCUGCUAUCUUCCCCAGAUUAAUGUCGCGCCCGUGCUUCUUCUCCCUCAACUCAAGCAGCUCGACCUCUUCGAUGUUGGCAUCUCAAAGCAGGCUAUGGAGCACCUGCUCCGCAGCUGUACUGCGCUCAAGUACCUUUGUCUUGAGUAGAUCCACGGGUUCAUUAGCCUCCUCAUUGCCUCGACGAAUCUCCGAUGGAUUUAUGUGUCUUGUUGGCCCCUCAACAAGACAUCAAUUGGGAAGAGAUCACUCUAGCUGUUCCACGUUAUGGUCAUUGAGAAUGCGCCUUUUCUUGAGAGAUUGAUUGUAUCUGAUCUAGAAGGUCCAACAAAAAUCAGGGUCACUGAUGCACCAAAAUUGGCAACGUUGGUGUACUCGUCUGCCAAACUCUCCAAACUCUUUAUUGGAUCCGUAAUCGUUCAGGUACAUCACUCAUCUUCUUCUCCGUCUUCUUGAAAUUCACAUUUUUAAAUUUCUUCUUGAUGUAUUUAUGACCGUCUUCCAGAAAAUGAUUCCCACAAGCUUCACCCAGUCUAUGCACACAGUGAAGAUCUUGGCAAUAAAAUCUAUCGGCCCCAAUCUGGAUCAAGUUGUUGGAUUCCUUACAUGCUUUCCGUGCACGGAGAAGCUACUCAUCAAGGUGAAACUUCUUUCCUAUUACUAAACGGUAAUCACAACGUAGCUCAAUUUUUCGUAAUUUUCCCAAAUUACGAUGACAAGUGUAGUGUUCAAAACUGCAUCUACGCACUAGACCAAAAGAAAUGUUUUUAUUAUUUUUUCUCACGUUAUCAUAUGCAUCAUUUUUUUGUUGUACUACUAUAGUAGCCUAGGCUAGUCAUAGUGGAAAGUAACUUAGACUAGUAACUCUAUGGUUACCAUAAGAGCAAGUACUACCUCCGUCCUGGUUUACUCUUCCUAUUUUGUAGUAUCAAAAUUUGACCAUAGAUUUAACUGACAAAAUGUUAAUGCAUGUCACUAAAAAUUAUAUCGUUGGAUUCGUAUUUGAACAUAAUUUCAAAUGGUAUAAUUUUUGGUGACAUGCAUUGGCAUUUUCUUAGGUAAAUCUAUUUUUUUAGAAAAGGAGGAUGACCCCCGGCCUCUGCAUCUAGGAGAUGCAUGCGGCCAUUUUAUUGAUUAUUCUCGAGGACCUUACAAAGUAGAACGACAAUAUGCCUGAAUCCGCCAUCUUGGCAUCUUAGGUAAAUCUAUGGUCAAAAUUUUACACUAAAUAUGAGUUAGUACAAAAGUGGUUAUAACGACCCUCCACUAUGUAGGCCAAAACACGUGCCAAAUUCACUUGUGAUGCAUUUGGCAUCGAUGCCCCUCCAUUGCUCAUCUGGUGCCCCAAUCUGGAUCACCUACUUUGCUCCGGUGCCAAAUUAACUCACGCAAUGAAAAAACACUUGCAUGGGAGAGAGAGAGGACUGAUGCAAUAAAAAACACUUGUUUGGGAGAGUGAGAGGCCCGUGUACUUGGUUGAUUGAUUUGUUUAUACAUGUGGGUCUGUGUGUACAGCGGUGCCAACUCUCUCACAUCGCGAGAGCGGUGCCAAAAUCUUUUGAUUUGACAUAGGUGAAAGUUAAAGCUGAAUUUAAGGAAAAUCUAAGACAGGGUAUCAAACUGUAUCACAAAGUCUACAGAUCAUUCAGGUUCAUCAUAAUCUGGAGACUUGGGGGCUGGAAGAGCAUAUAUAAGAUGGUGAAAGUCGGCAAACAUACCUCAUAUUUUAGCUGAAGUUGCUUGACCAUCUCAAUUUUUGAGUCACGGCUAGAAUGCACAUGACUGAGGUAGCCAGACAGCACAUCACUAACAUUCAUAUGAGCGUAAUGAGAGACAUCAAACCGCACCUUCUGCCUCUCUAAAGCCUCUUCUUUAGCAGAGUGUCGGGCCAGUACAAUGGGGUUGCCCGGCUUAACAAAUCGACUACUAGUAAUCAAAACAUCAUUGUCAGAAGUUGUCGGCGGGUUGGCAGAGCUAGAUGGUUGAGUGGUAGCCGGAUUAAGAGUGGUUUCAUCAGCUGACGGCUCAGGAGGGCCCGAUUGAACAUGAACAGCCGGGUCUUCUAGCGCUUGAGAUUGAUCAGGAGGAGUUGGUACUACCGGUUCACGUGCGGGAUCUUUUGGAUUUUCUGUUGGUUUAGUCACCUUAGCUUUCUUGGACAUAGCUUGACCGCUAAGAAAGAUUUUAUGAGAUAGUUAGUAUAAAAAUGUAGUUUUUAAAGAUGCAGAAGAAAGAUGAUUGUCCUUACCCAGGGGUGGUCUUGAAAGCCAGAAAUUGAGUUCGCGACGAGUCGCCAGAAGAGCGAGAAACCUCUUGCAAAGGUGAAAUAAAGUUAGUGGUGUAAGGAAAUAGAUCCAUUAAUAGAAGCAAAAGACAAAGAUGAAAGAAACCUCAUUCUGGCGUUUUCGAGGAGUUUUUUGUAAGUCAGAAGGCGGUUCAUCGUCAUCAUUAGUCCGGGCCUGACGGCGGCUCUCAUGUUGCUGCUUUUUCAAAAGAAAAUGAGGGUCCAAAUAAGCCAAAGGGUGCGAAAACCUUACUUUCCGGGUUAUCAGUUGAAGUUUAUGUCUUGGCAAAGUGGCUGAGUCGAAGGAAAUAGUUACCUCUUCUUCCAUGGCCUAGCUAGCCCCCGUGUCGUCCUGGCAAUAGUCAGUGUCAAUAAGGUAGUUAAAAAACUGGCCAAGGGACUCAAGGGCUACCUCCGACUCAGAAACGUCAUCCGGCUGGAAUAUGUCAGAUGCAGUCUUCUUCUUCUUGGGCUUCCGGGUCAUUCUCCCGGUGGCUAUGGCAGCGGCUCUAGCCUUCUUGGCAGCUUCAUGAUCAUACUUGGCUUUCCAAAAAUCAGAUUUGGCCUGUAAACAAAUAAACAUGUUAAAAGGUCGUGCAAGUAUUUAAACUACCGAGGAUAACACAAAAAGAGAAGGAGGUCAGGAGGUUUUACCUCUGGUGCCGGGUUAAGUUUGCAGAAGGGGUUUAAUCCAACCUUACUGCAAUCCUCGUAUUUUCCGUUCACAAGGAUGGUUGACAUUGCAACAAUGUCUUCUUCAGUCAAUUGUAAAGAGCUAUAACGCAGAGAGUUGUCUAGGCCUCCGCCAUAUUCAUACAUUAACUUGGAUCGGCGGCUUAGAGGGAUCACCCGCCAUGUGACCCAGCAAUUGAUCAGGUCAACUCCAGUUAAGCCAUUCCCUAAUAAAGCUUUAAUCCUUUUGAUAGAUGGAAUAAGCUUCUUGCGUUCAGCAGUAGUAAGCUUAUCAGGGAGCACGAACUUAGAAUCAAGACGCUCCACACGAUAACCCGGCAGUGGUUUUUCAUCAGCCGGUGAUAUAUCUUGGCAGUAGAAUCAAGUUUGGUUCCAAUCUUUAGGAUGGCUUGGUAAGACCACUAAAGGAAAGACGGCACCCUGUCGGCGGUGAAUUGAGAUUCUGCCAAGUUCCAAGCUAGGACCGUUGGUGCACUCAUUCUGGUGGUUCAAAUAAAAGUACUCUCUGAAGAGCUCCACAGUCGGUUCUUCUUGAAGAUACACCUCACAAAGAACUUGAAAAUUGCAGAUAUUGGAUAUAGAGUUGGGUCCAAUAUCUUUUGGACGAAGCUUGAAAAAAUGCAGAAUGUCUCGGAAGAACUUUGAGCCGGGUGGUGAGAAGCCCAGGUUCAUGUGAUUAGUGAAAAUGAUAACUUCACCGUCUUUGGGCUGAGGCCGUUCUUCGUCCAGGUCAGGAGCAUGAUAAGACAUAAUGUUUUUCUCUGGCAAAAAUCCUAUGGUGACAAAUUCCUUUAAGGUAUCCUCAGUAACUAUGGAAGGGACCCAGUUGCAGACUGUUGGCGCUUUUGACGGCAUGAUGAAAAAAGGGCAAGUUGAAAAGAAAGUAAUUUGCCGGUUCAAUUUAUUGAUGAAAUUACAGGUUCAUGAUCAUAGUACAGAUGAGUAAUGGCGACUUAAAUAAGGGCUAAUGAUAUAUAAAGGAAAAAUGAGCCGGAGUCAUAAGCCACCAUGACUAAAAAUAUUCAAAGAUUGCCUGAGUCAGAAUUGGCUAAGUACUGAGAUAAGGAGGUUUCGCAAGUGGUUGCUAUUAUUUUGGAUCAAGAUGGCUCAAAAAGGGAAAUAAAUCUAGAUCUAAACACCAGCAUAGUGGUGUUCAUCAGUUCUAGGGAGACCUUUGUACAAGAACAAAGGGAUCUGUUAGCCUCUGAAAUGGAUGUAAAACAACUACCACAUAGAUUCUAUAUUUCUUUUAGAUCAAAGGAGAGAUGCAGUGGAGAAGCUGCAAGGAAUCUACGACGAAUAGUGAAGAACACAAGAAAGAAACCUCCCAAACCCUAAUGCGGAUCUAUGGGAGGAGAAAGCGAGAGCUUACGGGUGCAGAGCUACUGCGGAGGAUCGCCGCUGUUCUAUGGACAGACUCAGGGUGAUGCAACGGCCGGAGUUGAGGACGAUGGUGCGCUGCGGCGGCGGCAAAGCUCGAGUGGCAGAGAAGUUGCGAGAGGAGGAAGAAGGAGAAAGAGGAAGUACCUGCCUUGCCUAUUUAUAAGGGGAUAAGUGAACGGGCAGGCACAAAUAUCGAGGAAGACCAAAGUAAUGAUUAUCUAGCUAAAUGGACGCCUCGAUUUUUGGAAAACAUUUAAGAUAAGGAUCCGUUGAAGAUGAUGUUGUGGCGUUUUUCCAAAUUUUCUGAAGAUGACGUCAUGGCGGGUUACAGAGCUUUUACAAACAGCAGCAGAUGGAUUUCGACUAAGUGUUGGAGGUUGACAAGAACAAAAUUCAAAUUAACCUGGGGCCUAAUGUUGGGAAUAUGACAAACAGGUAUGACCCGCCCAGGAGGGGCCGGGUCAAUCUUCAUGGCGGGUUAUUUAAAGAAGCCCACCGGAUAUACAAGGAGAUGGUUUAAUAUAAGACUUGUAGUAGGCCCAAGCCCAGAGGCGGCUUAAGGCCCGUAAUUGUAAACCGCCAUGUAUAAGUAAGGCUUGUAAAGAAAGGCAUGUAAAAGAAGUCAUCGAGCCGGACACGAUGUAUGAGCCGGCUGGGACUCUGUGGGCCGCCAGGCGUCCACCCAUGUAUAUAAGGGGACGACCCGGCGACGGCUUAGGGCAAGAAACAACAGAUCGAGAAGCCAAUCUAGCAUAUUUCACUGCUUGGUCAUCGAAACCUAGCAAUACCACAUCAACUAGACUAGGCUUUACCUUCACCACAAGGGGCCGAACCAGUAUAAACCUCUCGUGUCCUUUGUCCCGAUUAACCCCUUUAAGCUUCCUAGUUGCGAUGGCUCCACGACUAAGUCCUUUCACUAUGACAUCUGCCGUGACAAUUCCAUUACAGUUAGGGUUUUGAUGUUUUGGAUGGAAUUUUUAGUCCUUUUCUUGUACGGGAAGUCCAGCCGCCUCAUAAACAGAUGAGAGGUGAUGGCCGAUUAAACAACACACAAUCACAAAAACACAUCUACUACUUUUUCAUCUACAUUUUGUCUCUCCCAUGUUUUUGCUUCCUCGUUCUCCAUCGUUCUUCGUGUUGGAGAGCUGCGAAUCCCGAGGCUCUAGGGGCGGUUGGACCGACCUUGGGCAGCCCAUAGCCGCCACACCCCCCGACGGGGUUCCUCUUGGGAGUGUGGGGUUUCGGGUCCUCAAAAGUUCUCUCUGGUUGUCUUGCGAAUCGUGCUUCCGGUGAGACUCCUUUGAUGUGAGCUAUGGUGCAUCACCCCCGACGUCGAGCGUACACGUGGCGUGUUCAUGUGCAAACACCACUGAACCUGCACAUCUUUACCUCUACGUGCUGGUGAUGAAAAAAAAUCUAAUAAAGAUCUUCGGUGGCCGCUUUUGGAGUUACUCAAGUGUAGUAAGAUUCUAUUUAAAGUUUAACCCAAGAUGCACAUCACGUGGCUUCAACUACCACUUAAUUUUCUUGCAUGACACGACCUGGAUGUUGGAUGUCCCACGUGUCGGCAAAAGGAGGAAGAACUCGACCAAAUCUUCUCCGCAUUCAGACCGGAGGAGUAGGAAACACGGCAAGCCCUGUGCCUACAUCAUACUACUACGUACAAGCCGACCUCACGCAGUCACGCUAUCACCAUAUUUCUCAGCCUUUGUGCGACACCUAGCUCUAGUUGAUCUAACUAGAACUAACUAUUGGUUGGCUCUAUGUGAUGCGGCAACUUCAUACUACUACGUAUGCCGGCUAUACUACUACGACACUAACACUCCAAGAAGUGAGUCGAAAACCAUUUAUAAAUUGAGUUUAUGACAUGCAUAUGCAAAUUUACCAUUCAUUACAUACAACAAGUCAUCAACACACAACGUCAACGAGGAUACAUGUUGGAUUAUAGAUUAGUUCCAAUGAAACAUUCUAGUGAAUACUAAAGUUUUCAUCACACAACAAAUAACAAGCAAUGAAAUGAACUUCAGCUCAACCACUCCUCGGCGUUGGAAAUGCUUGCUUUGAACCAGAAUAGUUUCCCUGGGAAGGGCCAGCUACUGUCAAUCUCGAGACCAACGCAGGACUGAUCAUCCAGGCUGAAACGGCCUAUUUCAUGACCCAUGUUAUGAUAGCCACAGUAGGGAAGCAUAGCACUGCCCGAGGUAUAGAUACAAUUGCUUCUCAUAAAUGGUAGUAACAUUGUGUCAACAGCAGCUGGAUCGCCUUUCACCAUGAUUGGAUAGUUUUGUCCAAGGAAGAGCGAGUUUCCUCCAACAGUAUCAAUACUAAACCAGGGAGAAGGUGUUGGCGCUAGUACAAUAGUAUCCAUCCCGAAUACCCUGCAACGGAUGUUGGAAUAGGUCCGGAGAGUGCGACCAUGGGAGACAACACCUGCUUCCUUAGUCACAUCAGCGGUGCCCUGUAUACAGACAAGAAGAGGUGAUCCAUCGGAAUAAGUUGCCAGGCACCACUGAGUACUCCUAUAUGGGUCCUCAUGCUCAUGAUCAUCAGCAUCGUCAUCUCCCCCUUGGUUAUAAAAAAAUUCAAGUAUAGGUGGUGGAAUGUUCAUAGGACCUUGGAAACACAAGAAGGUUAAUUAGUAAAGGGAAACUAACUAACCCGCAUGCAUGUGGAUGAAACAAUUAUAAUUAUGGUGGAAGAAAAACAUACCGAAAGCAUAAGGAUUCCAUGCAAAAACAUUGCCACAAGUGGUGGCACCAAACACAAGACCCUCGUAUUGAGUUGCAUCACAGUACUCAUCUGUGUAUAGAAACUGAUUUUUGAGCAAUAUCCAUUGAGUCAAACCUUGAAGGACGGCAACAAGAUUGUCAAAGAUAGCGACAACACAAGCAUUCCUAUAACCUGUAACAUCCCAAAAUUCUAAAUUUUGGAAUGUUAUAAACAAAUAGAUAGAUUUGACUGAUUGUUUGAUUGAUUGUCUGAAAGUGAGUGAAUUCAAAACCUUUUUGAAAGUUAAAUGAGAGGGAAUAAAAGGACUUUCCCAAACUUUCAUUUUUGCAUUUUAUGCUCUCCGUGAAUUCAAAUGCUUUUCAAACACAAAACCCUAGAGAGAAGAUGACAUGACUUCUUCCAUUUAAAAAAUGAAAAGGGUGUUUGAAAAAUAAUUGAAUUUCAUUUGGAAAUAUUCCAAUUCUGAAACUUUAUGCGACUCAAUGAUUUUCACGAGAGAAGAUAAAAUGACUUCUUCAAAUUAUAUGAAAUAUGAGUUGGGAGUUUCAAAGAAUUAAAUUCAAAGCCCCUUUGAAUUUAUUUUCAAUUUGGAAUAGAUCAUCAUGCAUAUUUUAUUUUCUUGCAUUUUGGUCGAUCCUAGAAAUUUCACGCAACUCAAGGACCCUUGGAGAGAGUUGGAGAUUUCGUUAUUUUCAUAUUUGAGAGUUUUCUCGAAUUGAAAAGAGGAGCAUUUGAUUUAUUUAUUUCAUCUUCAAUAAUUUUUCCGUUAUCAAAAAAAAAAUAUAAGAGAGGGAAUAAUAUGACUUUCCCAAAAUAUAGGAAAAAUGAAGAUUUAAUAAAUAGAUCAAACUUUGUUUUCCGGUGUUUAUUCGCAUUUUAUUUGGAUAGGGAAAAAUGCGCGUUUUCAAAAAUUGCUUUUUAGGUCCGGAGUAAAGUUCAUUUUGUUCGGCUCAUUUUUAGGAGUCGGGGAAAAUUUACUUUAUUAAUUUUGGAGCUCGUUUAGAUUUUCUUUUAUUUAUUUUUCUGCGCGCGAGACCGUUUAAAAAAAAAAAUCCGCAGCGCCUUGGGCCAAAGGCCCAAGCCGCUAGCCGCCGGCCGGCCAAGAGGCCAUAGCGCGCGCGCACCAGGGAGCCGCCGCUUCCUUCUUUUGCCUAGUCCUAGUAGGACUCUUGUCCUAUGUUCUUUUAUUCCCUAUCUAUUUCUAGAUCUUUUCCUCUUGUUUCCUAAUCCUAAUCUAUUUCUUGUCCCCUACCCCAAGCAAAACCCUCCCCUUCCCCAAUAUAAAUACCCAAGCACCCCCCCUCUAAACACAUCAAACCAACACCUCUCCUCUCCUCUCCGCCGCCCCACGCCGCGCCGCCACACCCCACGCCGCGCCGCCGCACCACCCGAGCCGCGCCUCACCCCGCGCCUCUCACCCGCGCCGCCGCCCUUGUGCAUCGCCGCCGCGCCCAACGCCGCCCAACCCCGCGCCCUAGUGCCGCCACCGCCGCCAUGCGUCACCGCGCCGCCGCCGCCCUGCGUCAACGCCGCCGUCGCCGCCGUUCGCCGGAGGUACCGCGCCGCGUCUCUUCCUUCCCUCGGUUCGGUUUUUCUUAUAAACCGUUCCGAUUCUUUUCUUCUCUACCGAUUCGUUUUCUUUCCGAUUUUUCGCUAAACCGUUCCGGUGUUCUAGAUCGGUUUUUCGUUUCGAUCUCUUUUCCAAAAAAACCCUAGAUUGGUUUUCGUUCUUCUUUCGGACCGUUCGUCUCAACGAACGUGAUCACCGAUUAUUUCCCGGUUAACGACGUCUGUUCGUAUAACCGUUCUUCAUUUUCUUUCUCGUCGGAUUUAUUCCGCGAUCGCGAUCUCAGAUCCGAUCUUCGUUCUAGUUUAUCUUCUCGCCCGUUUAUCGGAAUCAGGUGAUUCAAGCGCCUGGAGUUUCGUCUCAAAACCGCCGUUCCAACUAAUCAACUUGAACAAGCUUCUGCUACAGUAAAAUUUGACCUAGAUUCAACUUGCUAGAACCGAGUUGUUUUCUUCCGCCGUUUGUUUUUCGUCGUUUGUUCGGCUCGUUCUUUCUUUGCAACCGGAGUUCUUAAGUUGAACUUUCUGGUUCGUUCUCUUGUUCGAUUUUUCCCUGUGCAUAGAUGAGUACUUAUUGUGUGGUUACUAUUGUUUGCUUACGAUAGAUCGACCGGAGUGUGACGAGUAGAUCUAUCACGAGUUUUGAGUGCGAAUCAUCUUCAUCAACAUUGCAGGCAAGUUCACACUUUGAUCAUAUCUUUCCUACUACCCAGUUUUAUUGCAUUAGAUCAAACCCUCAAACACUUGCAUUGUUUAGGAUCUAAAUUAAAUUGUGGGAUUGGGAAGUAGAAUUGAGGUAGUACCUAUUACCUGUUACUUAUGAAACCUUGGGAGUUACUUCUACGUUUGCUUAUUAUACUAUGCUAUGCUAGUAGACGGGGAUUGGGUGAGUGAAUAUCCAUGACAGAUGUGAGAUUGUUAAUUAAUGGUUUAUCUAAGGUGGCAACCUAAACACACAUCUGGGUGGAUUGAGGCACCUGAUGUCUAUCAGGACUUGCCUGUUUUUUUUGGACCGCCACCCAGGCUCAAAGGGAUCAUAAGAUCUUUCAUGCUAGAAACUUCCGUGUGCAGCCACAUGCUACUAUGGGAUCUAGCAUAGUUGACUAAGUUGUGCGAACUCUUACGGGGUGGACUAGCAGAUGUAGGGGAUGUAGGUGUACCGGUCUACCCCACAUGUAAGGUGCUAGUGCUUCUGAAAGACUAUGUCUCGGUCAUCCGUUUCUCAAACACCAUGCAGUGCGAGAACCAAGCGGAGGCGAUCGAGUCAUGUGGGGAAAAGUGCGCAACCUCUGCAGAGUAACAAACUAAUCAUGAUUAGCCGUGUCCCCGGUUAUGGACAACUUGAGUAUCUAGUACUUGAAUAUCAUUGUGAAUCUCAACAUGUUACUUCUAGUUAAUGUUGUUGGGUUUUUAAUGAGUACUUUUAAUUGGGAUUGAGGAUGCUGUCAACCAUUCUCAAUGUUUAACAACCACCAUGAUAGUUAAACAAAAUUAUUCCUUUGAUGUAGGGAAAAAUUGGCUUUUCGCAAAAACUGUAACCAUAGAGCUUUCCACCAGCCAAAUAUGCAUAUAGUGAUAGUCAUUGUUCAUUAUUCUCUCUAUGGUGUGAAUUUGCCAGUACAUUCAAUGUACUGACCCGUUUUCGGGCUGCAACUUUUCAUGUUGCAGACUUUUCAGACGACGAGUAAGUGGUACGUUAGGGUUACGAUUUCCUAUACUCAACUUUGCCGUUGGUGUUGAUGGGAAACCACAACCUUGUUGCUUCCGCUAUAUUUUGGAUUGAGGUAAUAGUUUUUACGUUACUUUAUACAUGUGAUUUACCUCUGUUAUAAAUCCUUCGAGUACUGUGUGUGUCAGCAUACUGAUCCAGGGAUGACACAUAAGCACAGAGACUUGAUCCAUUCGGGUCGGGUCGCUACAAGAUGGUAUCAGAGCACAUGUUGACUGUAGGACGUGACCCUAGAAACUGGCAAGCCAAUAGCAAAGAUUUUUCUCUACAACUUUCCCUUUCAAAAGAUCUUUUACCUCUCUUCUCUUCUGAGCUUAUUCAAAUUUCUCUUUAGUGAGACCAUACCCUUUUCCCCUAUUGACCACUCGAAGAUUCGACUGAUGAGACCACUCCAAGAAGUACAGGAUAUCAGACCAGUAAGACCAUUCGGAAUGAAGAGGAUUUUACCAUACAAUAUGCUAAUGGAAACUACAACGGUUGAAGACUCCGAAGACUUGGAGAAUUUGAAGGCUCUGAAGAAUUCCCAAAUUUGUAUGACCCAGGAAGGCUACCUUUAUGGAACCUGGCAGACUAUGGAAGUUAUCAAUACCGAGAUCAAGGUGUAUCGGAGAAAGACCGGAGCAUGGAGAGUUAGUAACUCAAAGUUUUGUCAAGAGAACCCUAAGGCAGGAGUUAUUAACUCAUGGAAAUGACAAGAGCAAAAAAAAAACACGGCUAUCCAUGAUGUUACCGCCCGCCUAUGCUAUUGUCACCAUGCGGAGUUAAGCAUGCAGAUGCAUGGAAGGAUUGGAUGGUAGAAAGCUGAUGGAGCAUCUAUCUGCAAACGUUGGAGUGUUAACCUUAGCUGGUGUAUUCACCAGGAUCUGGAGUGUUACAUCAGGAAGUUAAGAUGGACCUACAAAGAAGCAAUAUUUGACAAUAAGGCAAUUGGUGAAGAACUCAGGAACCAGAAGCUGAAAGUAGACAAGAUGAAGGAGCAAAACAUCGAGAUACCGGAGAUUUGACAGUAACUGAAGGAAAGUAGAACCACGGCUCAGCCACGGAUGUGGAAACCCAAAAGUUUGGAAUGCAAUUCCAGAAUAUUCAAGGAUGUCACGAGAGACUUCGCGUCAACAGAGAUGAUCUGGCAAAAGAACUUGAGCAGGACAAGCACGAUUGGAAGAAGCCAUCGGAGACAUGAACAUGACUUGAAGAGUUUGACGACUUUGAAGAUCUAUUGACUUUUAGAAGACCAAACCCCUGUUACAUACAUACGUUAGAUGCGACGAUUGUGAGCUGUCAUUUGUUUGAUGUUUUUCCGACAGCCACAAUAAAAUCUGUCUUUUCAAAACUUUUGUUUGUAUUGUGUGCAUUCCUCUCUAUUGAUCUCUCUUAUCUCACCCCAAACCCUUGAACCCAAUAGAGGAUGAAUGGAGAUGAGCUUGUAUUUUCUGGACCGAUGAGUCAAAUGGAGACAGACCGAUGGAUUCAGAACAUGGAGGAUCAUAUGGAGAACAACCCUAUAGUCGGAAAGGAUAUGGCCCAGCAUGCUCUUCAAUGCUUUGAAAGAGGUGCUGCUACUUGGUGGAGGAUGUACCAAACCAUCAAUGGAUGGCAAGGAGUAACCACUUGGAAAGAAUUUAAGUUGACUUUACUAAAGUCUCAGUUUGUGUCCUCGAAGUUGAAGCCUUAUGGAAAGGAUAUGAAGAAACCUUGUGCAUGCAAGAUUUGUGGACAAAUCGGACACACCCAUAAGGAACACAAGGAUGAAUGCCCUAAUUGUGAAGGAAGUCACCCAACUGAAGAAUGCCCAACUAGGCAGAUCACUUGUUUCUUGUGUGAAGGGACUACCCACUACCCUGCUCAGUGUCACAUUUACCCCAUGGUACAACGAACCAUCCAGCUGAAGGAAGAAGCAAUGAAAGGAGCCCUCAUGGAAGGUUUAGAAGAACCUGUGAUGAAGAAAGAGGUGGAGGACACACCCAAAGAAGAGCCAAUUAGACCCUGCACUAAGUCAUGCUAUUCAUGUGGAGAAGAAGGACACAUCUCCCAAGAUUGUCUGAAUGGAGAUCUAGUAGAAUUCCCGACAGAGGAAGUAGAGUAUGACCCACAGGAAAUAGAAGCCCUGAUUGGAACGGAAAGGUCCAGGAAGAGAAGUAGGUUGGAUUCGAGGAACAACCCAAUUUCCACAAAGAAAGACCUGAGUCAUAUCACAUGUUUCAGGUGCAAAAAUUCAGGGCACUACUUCCAUGAUUGCCCAAGAAGGAAGAUAAGGACCCAAGGAGGCUAUGUGAUCAUGAGGAAACCUCGAAACCUGUCAGAAGUAAUGUGUUUCCGUUGUAAUGGAGCAGGGCACUUUGCCAGAGGUUGUCCGAAGGAGAAGGAGACUUGUGAUAAAUAGUUGAGUUUGUAACAGAAAUAAUAUAGUAGUGGUAGUGAGAACAUUUUCUUUUAUAUAGAGGUAUUGAAUUGAGGCAUGUAAUGGAAAAACAGGAGAUUGUAAUGAUUAAUAAAGUUAGCCUCGUUGGUACUGAUAUGGAUUUUAUGAGUUGCUACUCUAUGAAGGAGGAUUUUGACCAUUUUUGAGGAUAAGAGAAAUAUGGUCUAUGGAAGAUUUGUGCAUUCUAAGGGUGGUAGUACCCUGUAAGAACCUUGACCCCUGGAAAAGAUAAGGAUACUCCACUGAGUGGAUUCAGACGAAAAUGAACAUGAGUUUUGUCUCGAUAUGUGUGAUGCCCCAAGAGUAUGUGGGAUGAAGUUGGAGACCGUCAGUUGUUUGGACCAAAUGUGAUCAAGGAGUUAGAAGAGAAUGUUAAGCUGAUUCGAGAUAGACUGAAGGUAGCUCAGUCCAGGCAGAAGAGUUAUGCAGACUCAAAAACUCAAGGAGGUAGUCUAUGAAAUUGGAGAACAGAGCAUGUCUUCAUGUGUUCCCUCUGCGAGGAGUUAAACGGAUUGGAGUUAAGGGACAGUUAGCCCCGAGGUUUGUAGGACCAUACCGAGUUUUGGAGCGUAUGGAGAAGUGGCCAACAAGUUGGAGUCACCCGAAGGACUGUCAGGAGUUCAAGAUGUGUUUUACGUUUCCCAGUUGAAGAAGUGCCAUGCAGAGAUGGCCAAUAUUCCCCUAUAAGGACGCUUGACCCUGGAAAGGAUAAUGAUGUUCCAUGAAGUGGAAUAUGGACUUCAUAAGUAUAAGAUUUAUCUCGGUAUGAGGGAUAUUCCAUGAGGAUGAAGAGAUGAAUUACUAUUGGAUAUAAAGGAGGUAUGAUGUUGGAAAUAUGGAUCAAUGGAAAUUCCAUGAAGAGUCUGAGUAAUCAUGUCCCCGUUUGGUACAAAUAUAAGGAAAAGAGACAGUACAUUUGGAUGGAUUUUAAGUAUGCCAGGAAGUUGGAUGUUGGGAUAAUGAUCAGUUGCCCAGAUGAUGAGUUCAAGAUUUGCAAGUGAUGAGAUGGGCCAUAACCCACAGGCCCCAGGACCUGCCAAGAAGCAAGCACACUCUUGCUGAAGGAAAAAAAAACCCUGGAAGAAGUUAUGACUUGUAUCAACCGACGAUUCUAUAGGAGUUUACGCAAAACCUGAGAGCUGUUAAGUAACGAUAGAUGUUUGUUUGGCUUGCAGAAUCAAUGGAUUUUCCGAACUUGGUUCGUCGACAAGAAGAAUUCUGCAAUGCUGUGAGGAUGACCGAGUGUUAGAAUGUGAGAUUCGCUAAACCAUGUACAAUGAAAUGAUUUGGGUGCGGGAUGGAUUGAUCACCAUACCGACUUACUCUUAUUAUUCGCUUUGCUAUAUGGGAUGGUAAAUCCGAGUGACUUACCUAUAGUGGAGAGACGACGAUCAAAACCUUGUUUGAACCUUAGAAAGGUAUAGGUAUUUUUUUUCCCUUGUACACGGCAGUUGUUGCCAACCGUAGGUUAUACGGUGAGGUUCAACCCAGACCCUUUCCUGCAGGAGAAACCAUAAAUUGUUGACCACCACGAGAUAUCGAUAGUUGUUUAGCAUUGGCGUCAGACCCGUCAGCUAUGAAGACCCAAUUUCAGAAUAACCUUACCAAGAUGAAAGGACAAAGGAAUUGAGGAAAAGGUUAUGCCACUACCGGAAGAGCCCAGAGAAGGGAUUAUCCUUAAUAUCUGAGAAGACUGACACUGUCAACGAUAAGGAUGGAGUAUAUGAGUAUUGAUGGAGCUGUAACGAUGUUUCCAAGGGUGGUAGCAUCCCAGACCCCGGAGACGAUCGAUGGAUUUAAGGAGACCCCAAACCCUAACCUUUUCUUGCUAGCCUCUCCGAAUCUCGAGGACGAGAUUCAUUUUAAGGGUGGUAGUUUGUAACAUCCCAAAAUUCUAAAUUUUGGAAUGUUAUAAACAAAUAGAUAGAUUUGACUGAUUGUUUGAUUGAUUGUCUGAAAGUGGGUGAAUUCAAAACCUUUUUGAAAGUUAAAUGAGAGGGAAUAAAAGGACUUUCCCAAACUUUCAUUUUUGCAUUUUAUGCUCUCCGUGAAUUCAAAUGCUUUUCAAACACAAAACCCUAGAGAGAAGAUGACAUGACUUCUUCCAUUUAAAAAAUGAAAAGGGUGUUUGAAAAAUAAUUGAAUUUCAUUUGGAAAUAUUCCAAUUCUGAAACUUUAUGCGACUCAAUGAUUUUCACGAGAGAAGAUAAAAUGACUUCUUCAAAUUAUAUGAAAUAUGAGUUGGGAGUUUCAAAGAAUUAAAGUCAAAGCCCCUUUGAAUUUAUUUUCAAUUUGGAAUAGAUCAUCAUGCAUAUUUUAUUUUCUUGCAUUUUGGUCGAUCCUAGAAAUUUCACGCAACUCAAGGACCCUUGGAGAGAGUUGGAGAUUUCGUUAUUUUCAUAUUUGAGAGUUUUCUCGAAUUGAAAAGAGGAGCAUUUGAUUUAUUUAUUUCAUCUUCAAUAAUUUUUCCGUUAUCAAAAAAAAAUAUAUAAGAGAGGGAAUAAUAUGACUUUCCCAAAAUAUAGGAAAAAUGAAGAUUUAAUAAAUAGAUCAAACUUUGUUUUCCGGUGUUUAUUCGCAUUUUAUUUGGAUAGGGAAAAAUGCGCGUUUUCAAAAAUUGCUUUUUAGGUCCGGAGUAAAGUUCAUUUUGUUCGGCUCAUUUUUAGGAGUCGAGGAAAAUUUACUUUAUUAAUUUUGGAGCUCGUUUAGAUUUUCUUUUAUUUAUUUUUCUGCGCGCGAGACCGUUUAAAAAAAAAUCCGCAGCGCCUUGGGCCAAAGGCCCAAGCCGCUAGCCGCCGGCCGGCCAAGAGGCCAUAGCGCGCGCGCACCAGGGAGCCGCCGCUUCCUUCUUUUGCCUAGUCCUAGUAGGACUCUUGUCCUAUGUUCGUUUAUUCCGUAUCUAUUUCUAGAUCUUUUCCUCUUGUUUCCUAAUCCUAAUCUAUUUCUUGUCCCCUACCCCAAGCAAAACCCUCCCCUUCCCCAAUAUAAAUACCCAAGCACCCCCCCUCUAAACACAUCAAACCAACACCUCUCCUCUCCUCUCCGCCGCCCCACGCCGCGCCGCCACACCCCACGCCGCGCCGCCGCACCACCCGAGCCGCGCCUCACCCCGCGCCUCUCACCCGCGCCGCCGCCCUUGUGCAUCGCCGCCGCGCCCAACGCCGCCCAACCCCGCGCCCUAGUGCCGCCACCGCCGCCAUGCGUCACCGCGCCGCCGCCGCCCUGCGUCAACGCCGCCGUCGCCGCCGUUCGCCGGAGGUACCGCGCCGCGUCUCUUCCUUCCCUCGGUUCGGUUUUUCUUAUAAACCGUUCCGAUUCUUUUCUUCUCUACCGAUUCGUUUUCUUUCCGAUUUUUCGCUAAACCGUUCCGGUGUUCUAGAUCGGUUUUUCGUUUCGAUCUCUUUUCCAAAAAAACCCUAGAUUGGUUUUCGUUCUUCUUUCAGACCGUUCGUCUCAACGAACGUGAUCACCGAUUAUUUCCCGGUUAACGACGUCUGUUCAUAUAACCGUUCUUCAUUUUCUUUCUCGUCGGAUUUAUUCUGCGAUCGCGAUCUCAGAUCCGAUCUUCGUUCUAGUUUAUCUUCUCGCCCGUUUAUCGGAAUCAGGUGAUUCAAGCGCCUGGAGUUUCGUCUCAAAACCGCUGUUCCAACUAAUCAACUUGAACAAGCUUCUGCUACAGUAAAAUUUGACCUAGAUUCAACUUGCUAGAACCGAGUUGUUUUCUUCCGCCGUUUGUUUUUCGUCGUUUGUUCGGCUCGUUCUUUCUUUGCAACCGGAGUUCUUAAGUUGAACUUUCUGGUUCGUUCUCUUGUUUGAUUUUUCCCUGUGCAUAGAUGAGUACUUAUUGUGUGGUUACUAUUGUUUGCUUACGAUAGAUCGACCGGAGUGUGACGAGUAGAUCUAUCACGAGUUUUGAGUGCGAAUCAUCUUCAUCAACAUUGCAGGCAAGUUCACACUUUGAUCAUAUCUUUCCUACUACCCAGUUUUAUUGCAUUAGAUCAAACCCUCAAACACUUGCAUUGUUUAGGAUCUAAAUUAAAUUGUGGGAUUGGGAAGUAGAAUUGAGGUAGUACCUAUUACCUGUUACUUAUGAAACCUUGGGAGUUACUUCUACGUUUGCUUAUUAUACUAUGCUAUGCUAGUAGACGGGGAUUGGGUGAGUGAAUAUCCAUGACAGAUGUGAGAUUGUUAAUUAAUGGUUUAUCUAAGGUGGCAACCUAAACACACAUCUGGGUGGAUUGAGGCACCUGAUGUCUAUCAGGACUUGCCUGUUUUUUUUGGACCGCCACCCAGGCUCAAAGGGAUCAUAAGAUCUUUCAUGCUAGAAACUUCCGUGUGCAGCCACAUGCUACUAUGGGCUCUAGCAUAGUUGACUAAGUUGUGCGAACUCUUACGGGGUGGACUAGCAGAUGUAGGGGAUGUAGGUGUACCGGUCUACCCCACAUGUAAGGUGCUAGUGCUUCUGAAAGACUAUGUCUCGGUCAUCCGUUUCUCAAACACCAUGCAGUGCGAGAACCAAGCGGAGGCGAUCGAGUCAUGUGGGGAAAAGUGCGCAACCUCUGCAGAGUAACAAACUAAUCAUGAUUAGCCGUGUCCCCGGUUAUGGACAACUUGAGUAUCUAGUACUUGAAUAUCAUUGUGAAUCUCAACAUGUUACUUCUAGUUAAUGUUGUUGGGUUUUUAAUGAGUACUUUUAAUUGGGAUUGAGGAUGCUGUCAACCAUUCUCAAUGUUUAACAACCACCAUGAUAGUUAAACAAAAUUAUUCCUUUGAUGUAGGGAAAAAUUGGCUUUUCGCAAAAACUGUAACCAUAGAGCUUUCCACCAGCCAAAUAUGCAUAUAGUGAUAGUCAUUGUUCAUUAUUCUCUCUAUGGUGUGAAUUUGCCAGUACAUUCAAUGUACUGACCCGUUUUCGGGCUGCAACUUUUCAUGUUGCAGACUUUUCAGACGACGAGUAAGUGGUACUUAGGGUUACGAUUUCCUAUACUCAACUUUGCCGUUGGUGUUGAUGGGAAACCACAACCUUGUUGCUUCCGCUAUAUUUUGGAUUGAGGUAAUAGUUUUUACGUUACUUUAUACAUGUGAUUUACCUCUGUUAUAAAUCCUUCGAGUACUGUGUGUGUCAGCAUACUGAUCCAGGGAUGACACAUAAGCACAGAGACUUGAUCCAUUCGGGUCGGGUCGCUACAUAACCCCAAGAGCGGUUGGGAACACGACAAAUUGCUAUCUUCUGUAGAUGAUAGUCACUAUGAUCAUAGUUGAACGUACAUAGAAUACCGGUGUGCUCACUCUUUGGGCAGUCUGAGAUUUUUGGAAGUGGAACCCGGUGACGAGUAUACACGUUCACAAGUUCCCACUCGCAGUUGUACCCAAUAUAAACAACCCAAUCUCCAUUUGUGCCUUCCCAAGCCUUACCCUCAAGCGAUGGCAUCUUAACAUCACACGUAUCAUUAUCAAGCGGCACCAACUUGCACAGGGCGAGGCCUCAGUCAUCCGCACGCUAGUGAGCUGGGUCAUGGUGAAGAAGAUAGGGGAGAUUAAACCACUCCUGGACCCUUGGCUUCCUGGUAAUAUUGUUAUUAGUUGAGUCGAGAAUGGUCUUGAACGAACCUGCCAUGCUAGCCGAGGUGAUGACAUCGCACCGAUCAAUGAGUUCCUCCACCAUGUCAUCAUUCAGAUCGGGGCAAGAAUAACGGGGUCAUUUCCGGUCUGUUCCCUCCAUGGAGAGGACGAUCGAACAAUGACAGAAGGAUGGGUGAAGGCAAAUGGAAGAGGGAGGAAGAGCGUGUGACAGCAGUUCCAAACCGAGAGGGAAAGGCGAAGAGUCGGUGGACAGUUGCCACGGUACACGAAGAGGCGCCCCGGCCUACAUAGACGUCCAUUUGGAAAUUGUACAAAAUGACUCGCCGUCGUCUCACUGACAUGUUGGAAUGGGACACGCUCCCCACUAGCCUCAUCAUUGACGUGUGAUGGUUGCCACAGAGGUCACACACUGACGACAAGGCCGUCCUGUCAGAUCUAGCGCCCGUGCAGGAUGGCUUCUGUCCCCCCACACGAGCGAAGCCACAGAGGUCUAUUUGGGGUUGUGAGUUGGAGUUGGCCUUACAAGUGGGACCGCAGUCGAGGAAACCGACUAUCGGCAAACCCCCACCUCGCCUGCCACGUGAUGGCUGAGUUAGAGAAACGACGAGGUUGAAGAGAUAGAUGUAGCACGGACUCCAAGAAAUAUGGUAUCAGAUGGAAGUCGUGCUGGCGGCGUGUGCCGUACUCCUAGACAUGAAUGCUUGUUCUGGCCCAUGGCACCCUAGUAGUACUAUAUAUCGAGGAUUUGAGGUGCUGGUUACGUAUAGCGAACACAUUAACAUAUGGCCCACCUCACACUGUGGCUAAAUUUCCUGGAGUCUGUGCUAGGUUAAAAAGUGUUCUUUGUGAGGGUGGGUGGCUGGUCUCAACUUUAAAACUUGUUGUAUUACGUAUACGUAAAUGUGGAGAUAGUGUAGGAGUUUUGAAAGUUUGAACCCAAACAUCAGAAUGCAAUUUCUACUGGACUCGUCCCAGGACCUAGGAUGAUGGGAUUCGUAGCUCCAGUAAAAAAACCGCCCGACGCGCGAAGCAUGUGAAGCUAGUACAAAUAGUAGUAGUACUAUUGCUAGUUUCAAAAAGUAGUACUAUUGUUGAUUGCACUCAUUUGAUAAUCUAUAACAAUGCACGUACAAUUAUGUAUUUGGAAAAUAGUUUUUUGCCUCAUCGCAGCACCCACUCAGAGAAGCGACUCGAAAGCCAUGAACCCACAACGACAACGACGAUACAUUCUAGUAAAUACUAAAGUUUUCAUAACACAACAAAUAACAAGAAAUGAAAUGAACUUCAGCUCAACCAAUCCUCGGCGUUGGAAACGCUUGCUUUGAACCAGAAGUGAUUAUCGAGGAAGGGCGAGGCACUGUCAGUCUAGAGACCAACGCAGGACUGAUCAUCCAGGCUGAAGUGGGCUUUGUCAGGACCCAUAGUGUGAUGGUAGGGAAGCAUAGCAAUGACUGAGGUAUAGAUACAGUUGCUUCUCACAAAUGGUAGUAACGUUCUGUCAAUAGCAGCUGGAUCGCCUUUCACCCUGAUUGGAUAGUUUUGUACAAGAAAGAGCGAGUUUCCUGCAAGACUUUCAAUACUGAACCAGGGAGAAGGUGUUGGCGCUAGUACACUAGUAUCCAUCCCGAAUACCCUGCAACAGAUGUUGGAAUAGGUCCAAAGAGUGCGACCAUGCGAGACAACACCUGCUUCCUUAGUAACAUCAGCAGUGCCCUGUAUACAGACAAGAAGAGGUGAUCCAUCAGAAUAAGUUGCCCGGUGCCACUGAGUAUAUGGGUCCUGCUCAUCUUCAUGCUCAUGAUCAUCAGCAUCGUCAUCUCCCCUUGGUUAUAAAAAUUUUCAAGUAUAGGUGGUGCAAUGUUCACAGGAUCUUGAAAACACAAGAAGGUUAAUUAAUUACACUACACCACGCACCGGUGUGUGUUGGGAAAAGUCAAUUUCGCUAACAGACUGUUGGUUGGGAAAACUUCUAACUAACUGUUGGUCGGCAAUACUUAUCUAUCGUGUCCAACUGUCGGUCGGCAAUACUUGAGUAUUUCACGUUGGACUAUCGGUCGGGAAAACUUGUGUCUUCAUCAGACUGUUGGUCGGGGAUUAAUGCCGACCGACUUGUUGGUUGCCAAUUGGGCCGGCCCGUCUUUGCGUGCGCGGGCCGAAAACUUAGCGCCAAGCCUCCCUCCUAUUUUUUUCGUUCAGCCUUCCUUCAUCCAAAUUCCCCAAAUAUAAAUCCUCUCACGCACUCCCUCCGCCGCCGACCGCUAGCUAUCUGGCAGCCUGCACGCUGUUGACCGCCCGCCAUCUCCAGCACGUCAUCAUCGCGGUAGCAAGGUUGCUGCCCUGUCUCCUUCGUCCUCCUGCACCCCCACUACUUAGCCCCCAAACACUUCUAACCCUAUCUUGUGCGCUGGUGUUCGGGGAGAGGCCAAGGCGCGGUGGUGGACAACACCGUCCCUCUCAGAUCCGGGGCAGAGAGAGAGGUGGUUCACCUGCGAGAGAGAGCACUCGCACCCUCACUCGUCACCCAGGAGCCGCCACCACCGCCGCCACGCCAUGGGCUUCCUCAGAUCUGUGCCACCCUGUUCGUUUGAAGAAGGAUCUGGCCGUUGAUUGCUGGUGCUUCCCCUCGCCCGACGGUGGGUGUUCUUCUCACUCUCCUCGCCCUCUCCACCCCUCCCCAGUCGGGGCUUCUUUUAGUUGAUUUGUUUGCUUUUCCCUUUUCCGUUCAGAUCUGCCAUGACUUGGGAUAGUACUUCUGUCCAGCAAGCAGCGCUUUGGCUGGGAGCUCAAGCUCAAGCAGAACGUCAAAAACAUGGGCUCUAUCUGCUAAUGGGGUAGCCGGCAAUGCAGUCUAAGGGCUGGCUACUGCUCAUCUGAUUUCUGGAUAUGAGAGGAUGAGAACUUGAGAAGAACAAGCUUGAUGCUAUGAUUGCAAAAAAAUCUGUACUACAGGUAUUCCUUUCAGUACUGUUGCAGCAAUCCUUAAUUAGCUACUAUUUUAUGAACUGAAUGUGAUUGAUUUGUGAACUUUAGAGCUUGUAAGUUGUAAUUUGUGAUUUCAUAGGAUGCUUGAAGGUCAAUAGAAGGGUAUUAUUCCUAUGAAAAUUCAUUACUUUCUAUAUAUAUAUAUAAAUUUAUCCACAUAUAUGUGCUUUGAUACGAGGGACAAACCUGAGAACUAGCUUCAGAUUCCACAAAAAAGUCCAAAUAAUCAUACUAAUGUUUCAGAUUUUUAGUUAAGCAUUGUAGAAUUCUGGCAAACAGAGGAGUAUAUUAAAUCUUCAUCCUCUGAACUAGGUGAGAGUUAAGACACACCAUACACAGGCUCUGUAAGAUGGCGGAAAUAUUCCUCUUCGUCAACGACUUCUACGAGGACGAUAUUGACCUAGAGGCUGGAGCUUUGCUACUCCUUCCGGCCAACAACAAGGCAUCGUUUACUUUUUCUCUCCCCACAUCCAAUACUUCCCUGUUCCUGUCCCUACCGCUUAUUUCUUGCUAUAGGGCAACACACUACAAGUGUUUGAUAAACUGUUAGUCUCAAUGCUCCAAUUCUGGCAGAAGGAUUUUCGGUAGGAAGACAUAGCACCAAUCAAGGAUUUUCGGUAGGAAGACAUAGCAUCACUCAUGGUUAUAUAUAUUUACUAUUGUAUUUCUGUAUUUUUGCAAAAUUAGUUCUGUGAAGCUUCUAGAUUAUUUUAGUUCUUCAGUGGUUUUACCCUUAGGCUUAGCUUGUAUUAACUUACAACUUUUUUCUCCAUAAUUUUGCAACAAUAGUUCUAUAGUACUUAAUACAGUUUUUCUAGAAUCAUGAUAAAAUACAUAUAUAUCUAGCCGUUUGUAUUUCGACGGUCAUGUUUCUAAAGAUUUUAAAGUUUUAUUUUCACUAUAAAUUUGCUUUAGUUGUUCUGUAACUUCCAGCAUAGUUCAGUUAAGGGGUUCUAGUCUUAGGCUUGUAUAAACUUACAACAUCUUUCAUUUGCAAUGACAAUGGUUUCACAACUGUAGACAGUUCAUCUUUAUAAGGCCAUUGUAUCCAUGAAGAAAUUUGUUACUUAUUUCUGAAUACAUCUCGUACUGUUUAUCGCAUUUUAAGAUAUGGCAUGAAGCUAGCUAAGGGCUUUUAUUAUUUCUAGCAGCAUGUGAUUCACUGAACAAAAAAAGGACUGCACUCACAUAUGAAAUGCUUGCAAGUUAUAGAAAAAUGAAGCAAAGGACCAACGGUGUAGGUAAGGGCUUUAAUUUGUUAGUACUCCAUUUGCUAUGCAUCAAGAUUCAAUCAAGUAGGAUUCCCCGUGUAUUUGCAGUUUUUACAUAGUGUUUUGCAUGUGAAUUGUGGUCACUACUAUCAAUUCAUGGAAAUUUAAAUGUAUAGUGAUGGAUGAAACGAAUGGAACCUAUAUCCUGGGUUCCCAGUACUAUACUGUUGCUUCAAAAACACUUGUAUGUACAGAUAGUUUCUCUUGGAUAUCAUAAGUAAACGUUCUUGAGAUAAAUUUCGCUCAGUUUUUUAGUGGGGAAGGAAAGCUUCAUGAUAUUCCAUUUAAAGCGCUGAUAUCUAUUUGAAAAUUAAUUUAAGUGCAUACCUCCUCGAUCCUAACAGUAUUUGUGUACUGUAUAGGAGAAAUCUUCUCAGUUUCUGAAUCCUGAGCAGUAGCAAGUCAGGUGCUUAAUGGUGAUCCUACCACGCAUAUGUCAUAAGCAGGUUAGUUCUAAAAAGGUCAUUGUUAAUUCGCCCGCGUCUGUCCCGCAAUUGCCACAACUUAGUGCAGUGAGAUCAGACGAUGGUCGUCAAUUUAAUCUAAUUUGUGGCACUGAAGUACAGAUGCUUUUAUGAAUAUAAUAGUCAGGUGCAGUGUAAGUUCAGAUGCUUUUUGUUUGGUAUUUUGCAAGUCCUCAUGUGCUUAGUACUGCAUUUAGAAAUGAUUAAGAAUAGAUUCUUAUCCUUGAGAUUCGUUUCUAACAUUGGGAAAGUAUGUCUAACCUCCUGAUGUACGUGUGUUUUUGAGAAUGCUUUUCCCAGGGCAUGCUGCACUCGUCAUUGAAACUCCUAGCUGUGUAUUAGAUAGUAAUCAUUUUGCCUAAUGCAUUGCCAUCUAGGGCAGCAAAGUGCGGUCUUUUCCACCCCAGAGAAGAAAAAGAAAGAAAACUAGUGUAGUUUUUUCUUCAAAAAUGACUUUCGUGUGUCCGUUGGUGGAUGUGUUUCUCCCAAUAAUUGGGUCUGGACAUGUUAAAUUGUUGCCCUAUGGCCAGAUGAUGCAUAUGCUCCUUUUCCAUUUAAUAUACUUCCUAGUCUGCGGCUUGAGGAGAUUGAUGCAUGCUAUAUGGUGGGUCGGUGUGGCAUUGAUGCUUUAUUAUGUCUAACACAUCACAAAUUCUAAUUAGAACAUGCCCUGUUUUUAUAAUACUAAAAUCCCAGUUUGUUUUUGCCAUUGAUGCUUUAUACAAUUAUUAUUUUUGCCAUUAUCUCCAUGAAUGCAAGAAUUCACCAGUGACCCUUUUAUCCUUUGUAGGAAUGACAUGCAAGAGAACCAGGAAGGAACCAUGAAGAUGGCAGUUUGCAUCAGCUAGACAUUUUGUGUAAUGGAGCAAAUACAAUGUGUCUUUUAGUUAUCGUUUUGUAAACCUAUAUGGUGUCUUGUCAACUGGGUAUUUUGUGUAAAGGAGCAAACAAUGAAUCGUCAGACAUGCAUCUAUCAUUUUGUAAACCAAUCAGGUGUCUUGGUGAUUGAAACAUAAAUGUUUCCUCCUUUCAAUUAGUUACUUUUACCUAUAAGAACAUUCUUCUUUGGUUGUGGUUUAAUAUUUUCAGAGUUCAUGCAAGUUUCCAUUGCAAUGAG